GAACAAACAACACCUUAGAGCAGAAUCUUUUUUUUUAUGAGCCAGUCACAUAUAAAAUCCACAUUAAUAGUGACAAUGAAAAGCAGAUGUUCUGAGUUUAUUACACUGCUUUGAAUAGACUCCAUCAAAUAUUAAGCCAAUUUCAGCUGAGGUUACAUGGUCUUGUACCUCUUGGCCUCAUAUAGCUGCUAUGAAGGAUUCGGUACUUCCACCACUCCUUGUCAGUACCUGUAAGGUUUCUGUUUAAUUAUGCCUUUCCUGUUACAGCUUCUAACCUACGCUGGGUCACAGAAAAAUGUCAGGACAAGACAAAUCAAAAGAAGCAGUCACAGCUGAGGGUCAGAACACAACAUCCACACUGCUAAAGACGCAAAAAAUCUGUGGAUGCAAAGCUUGACACGUUUCCAAGGACACAUAAGAGAAAAGCCACUGGAGAUUAGAGCUGCUGGGAAUUACAGGCCAACAACAUCAGGGUCAGGAAAUCCCCUGAGGUAUGCUGUAAGUAAGUAAAAAUGGUCAGUUUGCCUAUCUACUGAGGUGAGAUUAUAUGUCAAAAAACAGAUGAAGAAUCUGACCCGCAUGUGGAUAUAGAUCCUGGCUGCUGUAAGUCACCUAGAAACAUGAAGAACCUCUUCUGACUCCUGAAGUCUUUAGCACAUGGAUUACUUUCCAUUGCAGACAAAUUUCACAUCAUUGGUUGCUUAUUUCAGUUGCAGUAAAAAAUGAGGAUUUGAACAUAGAUUUAAAAGUAAUCCGAGAAUAAUCCACUGAGCUCCUUGCUGAGCCCUCUGCACCUGUUUAUACUAUUUGAAUUUUGCCAUUUUUUGACUGUGACCGAGUUCACAUUUUCCUUUCUACUUUCAUUGUAUAUUUUUCUAUUAUGCUCCUAAUUUAGCAUUUUUAGAGGUGCUUGCAGGCUUCCUCUGAAAUUAUUUGAUCACAUACAUUUGUGGAGUGCUUUAAUGUCAUCUGCUACUUACUUUUGUAACAUGCAUUUUACACAACACUCUGAUUUGUUUGAACAUUAAUUUCUUUUGUGGAUGGAAGCCAACAUACUGUUUUCACAUCACAGAUCUGCACUCAAUUGUGUAACAUUUGGAUCAGGAACAUUUAGGAUUAAAUAUGGUUUCUAAAUGUCUUGAAAAAGCUUAACUUAGGCUCUGCUGCAGCAUUCACACUUUUCAGGUAACUUAUCUCAAUGCUCUGAACAGCAGGACUUUGAAGACUUCAGCCAGGAGGUGAUAUGACUAGUUAAUCAAGCCUCUUUUCUGUGUUUCUUAUCAUCUACUCUAUUUUAUUACAUUUGAAAAUUAAAACAGAUUCUGCCAAGAGCAAGUAUGUUUGCACAUUGCCCUUUGUUUGCACUGACAUUUAUAUAUUUGCAUACGAUUGCCAUCCUUUCUUAAGCUAAAAUCAACCCUGCUUUAUUGUGACACUACAGUUUAAGUAAGGGACAUCCAACUGCGACUUCAGCACAAUAAAGACUGAUUGAAGUGCCA
RNAcentral lists this long non-coding RNA (1499 nucleotides) under Zonotrichia albicollis (white-throated sparrow). RNAcentral describes it as "lncRNA (ENSZALG00000016439.1)". Lineage: Eukaryota; Metazoa; Chordata; Aves; Passeriformes; Passerellidae. The record is from RNAcentral.